This 513-nucleotide ribosomal RNA is filed under the name uncultured bacterium. RNAcentral describes it as "bacterial SSU rRNA". It matches the Rfam family "Bacterial small subunit ribosomal RNA", at positions 17 to 518 of the family's 1533-position model. The record is from RNAcentral.
UUAUGGCUCAGGAUGAACGCUAGCUACAGGCUUAACACAUGCAAGUCGAGGGGCAGCAUGUUGGUUGCUUGCAACCAAUGAUGGCGACCGGCGCACGGGUGAGUAACGCGUAUCCAACCUUCCCCUUAGUAGAGGAUAGCCCGGCGAAAGUCGGAUUAAUACUCUAUGUUCUUCAAUGCGGGCAUCUAAGUUGAAGCAAAGAUUUAUCGCUAAGGGAUGGGGAUGCGUCUGAUUAGGUUGCAGGCGGGGUAACGGCCCACCUGGCCUACGAUCAGUAGGGGUUCUGAGAGGAAGGUCCCCCACACUGGUACUGAGACACGGACCAGACUCCUACGGGAGGCAGCAGUGAGGAAUAUUGGUCAAUGGGCGCGAGCCUGAACCAGCCAAGUAGCGUGCAAGGACGACUGCCCUAUGGGUUGUAAACUGCUUUUAUCAGGGAAUAAAGUGAGGCACGCGUGCCUUUUUGUAUGUACCUGAUGAAUAAGGACCGGCUAAUUCCGUGCCAGCCGCGGC